This 78-nucleotide microRNA precursor is filed under the name Choloepus hoffmanni (Hoffmann's two-fingered sloth). RNAcentral describes it as "miRNA (ENSCHOG00000015602.1)". Lineage: Eukaryota; Metazoa; Chordata; Mammalia; Pilosa; Megalonychidae. The record is from RNAcentral.
GAUUUGCUAAUUCUGAGGUGGAGUCCAAGAAUCUGCAUUUCUGAGAGGUCCUCAGGUGAUGCAGAGUUCUGGGGACCA